AUGAAGCCAAAUUCCAAACAGCUUCUGGGAGUAAAGGCUGCUAAGGUUGUCUCUGCUGGAAGAGCUGUGGAGAGUGUGAUCAGGAGCCAGCCCCCCUCCACUGGGGAGAAGCUCUUGAUAGCUACUGGGGUAUCUUUGCCAUCGUUUCUGCUGCUCCUGCCACCGUCUCUCCUCCGUAGUGGCCUCUGUGCCAGGGACUGUGUUUCAGUUACCUGUAGCCGACUGCGGUAUAGAAGCAGGUGAUCCUCCUGAUGGAUUAUCAGAAAGUCAAAAGUCAUCUACCACUAGGUCGAAAGGCCUGUGUUAUUCACCUCACGUCAUCUCAUCAUACGGCAUUUAAUCAUCUCACAUCAUCACAAGAGAGGUGAGCGAAAGAAAUAAGAUAUUUUGAGAGAGAGACUAUAUUCAUGUAACUUUUAUUACAGUGUAUUGUUACAGUUAUUCUAUUAUAUUAUUGUUGUUCAUCUCUUACUGUGCCCAACUUAUUUUUUAUUUUUUAAAGAUUUAUUUAUUUGAGAGAGAGAGAGAGAGCAUGAGCAUGGGGGGAGGGACAGAGGGAGAGGAGAAUCUCAAGUAGAUUCCCUGCUGAGUCCAAUGCAGGGCUCAAUCUCAUGACCUUGAGAUCAUGACCUGAAAUGGGUUGAAAUCUAGUUGAAAUCUAGAGUGGGAUGCUUAACCGACUGAGUGACCCAGGGCCCCUACUGUGCCUAAUUUAUAAAUUAAACUUUGUCAUGGCUCAGUAUGUACAGAAUAAAUAUAGCACAGAGCUUGGUACUGUGAUUUCAGGCAUCUGCUGGGGGUCUUGGAAUGUAUCCCUCACCAAUAAAGGGGCUACUGUAGCAUUAUUGAAUUAGAUGAGAUACAAAGGUUGCCUCAAAAAGAAAACCACCACUAGAAAUGCCAUUUCUUCCUACUUGUCCCAUCUUAUACUUCCUGUGCAUGAGAAUCUGGGGAAUUUAGAAAAUAUACGAUGCCUCAGAUCCACCCUAUCUCCUGGUGGGAAUCAGUGCUCUUUAAAAGCUCCUCAGGUGGCUGUUGCAGCCUGAGUUAAGACCCGCUGCCCUCAGGCAUUGCUGAUCAAGGGUGUGCUGCUCCAUGUCUCUGCUGCCUCUAUUCCCAUCCCCAUUGGAUCUGACUCCUAAAGUCAGUUUGCCUUGUGUGUUUUAAUCUGACAAACGGCAGGUGAUUAAUCAAGGUUUGUGUGCUAGAUCCCUCCCUGAGCCCUGGGUAUUUAUUUUCAUUGGCACCUUGACAGGAGUAGGGCCAUAUUCUCUUCCGGCACUAAGGGGAGGGAACGGGUGGAUAAAGAUUUACUGAAAUGUUGUGGCAGAGAUGAUAGGCUGCAGACAAGACAUUCUCUGGGACAUUAGCUGAGAAUCAGAGGGGCCCAGUAGGACUGGUGAAGCAGCUGGGCAGAUUUCCUGUCUUCAUUCAGCAGUGCUGGAGCAGGAAACCUAGCAGCCAGGCUAGGACAAACUUCAAGAAUUUAGAACUCAGGGGGUUGGGUCAGGAUGUGCCUGACUGUGUGGUGUGGCCCAGGAAGGGAGGCAGGUGUUUUUGACUGACGGUGGCUUUCUGAGUUAGUCCUUCUUUCUCCCAGUUACAUCUUGCAGGAGACCUUCAAACUGUAUACUCUUAGGCUCCUGGGUGGCUUAGAGGUUAAGUGUCUGCCUUUCGCUCAGGUUGUGAUCCUGGGAUCCUGGGAUGGAAUCCCUUGUCAGGCUCCCCACAGGGAGCCUGCUUCUCCCUCUGCCUCUCUGCCUC
This 1764-nucleotide long non-coding RNA is filed under the name Canis lupus familiaris (dog). RNAcentral describes it as "lncRNA (ENSCAFG00040012134.1)". Lineage: Eukaryota; Metazoa; Chordata; Mammalia; Carnivora; Canidae. The record is from RNAcentral.